Molecule: long non-coding RNA, 465 nt
Filed under: Ursus americanus (American black bear)
Lineage: Eukaryota; Metazoa; Chordata; Mammalia; Carnivora; Ursidae
Description: lncRNA (ENSUAMG00000017129.1)
Source: RNAcentral
UUCAAUACCUUCCAGAUGAUCUUAUGAUAAGCUUGUAAAAGCCAAAACCAUCUGCCCUACCCCCCUCUACCGCUCCUUUAUCUUCCUCUCUUGCUCUUCCAUCUCUCCCUACAGGCACGUCAGUGUCUUCCAUUUCUGGAACUACUCUCUCACUUGGAGCCAAAGUUUGCACACACGAGCGUGCUCUCUUUUAUCUGGCCAACUGCGGUCCUCAGAGCUUGGUUUAUAACUCAGUCAGGUUUGCACCUGGUUUUUGGGAAUCAACAGUCCCCCCGACGGAGCAUCAGCCAACAGGCUGGGAACUCUUGUCAACAAGCUCUUAAACGGCUCACAAUUCUGCUAAGAGCUUGCAUGUAUCUAGCUGGUGCUCAAAGACCCAAGUAAAAACAUUAAACGGAGGGUUUCUGCCCAUUCCGCAGUCUAAAGCGAGAAGUCAUCUGUCCUAGGGGGUGCCCUAGUGUCCUG